AUAAGGAGCUGUUAUAAGGAGAUUAGAAAUUGUAAAGGAUGGGUAAAAUAGGGGACUGGGUGUUGAAGGAGAUAGGGAAGGGCUUAAUAGGAGCUGGGGAAAUUGGGCCCUGCUCAACAGUGAGGUCCUCCUCUCCAUGCCCAUGCCAGGAACUGGGAAGUGAAAUUGUGCAAAGUCUGGGGCCAGGGGGAGGAAAGAAGCAAAAAGAGAAAGAAAUCCAAGCUAAGAAGAAGGAGGAAAAAGGAACUGAAAAUCUUUUAUCAUGGAAUUUCUGUACCAACUUCCCUAAACAAUGGGGAAAUUAUUUAUUUACUUAUACGUUUGUUUGUUUGUUUGUUUUGAGGGAAAUGGUUCAAAAUAAAUCAUGUGCCCUGCUUGUUUGGAGCUAAAAAAUGGAGAAGGAGUUGAUUCUACUACAGCUGCUGGGUUUUUGUUUGUUCCUUCCAGCAAGGCUGGAAUUCGAAAUAAUCAUCAUCAAAAAAUAAUAUCAGGCAGAAAUUGACUAAAAAACAGCAGGACUUUUUCAUUCCUGGGCCAGUGUUGAAAACUAUGUUGGCUCUCCUCACUCAAAGCAAAGGAAAUCUGGUUUUGUUUAGAAUUAACUGCUUGUUUUACCUAUUUGUUUUUGCCUACUUAUGAUCCCUCUGACGUUUGCAGGAGGAAGGGCUCUGGCCUGGUUCAGGUGAAAGCUCUCUAAGAUGAAAAAAAUUCUCCUAGUCCCAAUAAGGGAAGUCAGAAAUCCUAACUUAGAAGCACCAGGGAGAGUGGACACUGGAAAUAUGCAAACUCAUUCACUGGAAAGCUACCAAUGUCUACAAGUGCUGAAAUGAAAACCUGACACAACAGAUCAGUCAGCACUUAGUACUGAAUAAAUCAGCAGGCCUCAGUGUUAAUCGCUGCAGCCAUCCAUGAACUCUCACAGAGUGUAGAAACACUGUCUGUUCUGCCUAGAACUUUUUUGGUUUGUUUUUUUUGGGGGGAGGGAUGAUGUUUACUCAUAUGGUGGGAGGAUCAUAUGCUGUAUUGUUUUCUGCCUGUCUUGAGUCUGAAGAAAUGUGAAGAGAAGCAGCAUAAUUGUUCAGAAAGCUGUUAGAAUAAGAAAAUGAAAAGAACAAAGGGAGAAGAUAUUGAGAAUCUGAACUCUCAUAAUGUCACAAGCAGGAAAAUUAACACAUGCAUCUCUAGGGUGAGCUGUUCUUCCCAAAAGGUUGGCUGUGACCAACCAGCCAUAGCAUAGGUUAUAAAACAUGCAGUAGGAUCUAAGAUUUUGGGGUGAGUAUAUGGUCAUACAUGUCAUCUGAUGGUUCUCCCAGUACUGCUCUGAGCAGAGCCAACACUACAAGAUCACAAAAACCCCCUCUAGUAGAGCAGGAUCCUGCUAUUGAUUCACAAUGUGGAAAAGGCCCUGUUUUAACUCUUGCACUUGUUUCAUACGGUGUGCUACUACAGAUGGGUUAUCCCAUUUCAUAUGUACUUCUUGCUUACACUUCCCUGAAUUUCUCCUCCAGCUUUUCAGUUUGCAUAUGGGAACACUAAUAAAAAUGAGUACUAUUAAAAUAAUCCACAAAUAUUAGUAAUUAAAGUAAGUAAUGAGUGAUGAUAAUGAGUAUUAUGAAAGCCAACAGAAUAUUCUUUUUGCCUCAGCUGAAGGCAAAGAGGAGCACCAUGUUGCUUUUUUUCAUCAGGCAUUACAACGCAGCAGGGAGCAGGCACAUGAGGACAAUUUUCAGUGGUCUUUUGGGUACAGUAAGUCACAGUGGGCUUUGAAUGCAGUGAGGAAAAUAAAAAAAUGCUUCGGUGGGCACAGCUGCUUUGUGUGGUGCUGUUGCAGUGCCAGAUCCCAGCUACCGGGUAAGGAUCUUCAGGUCUAUCCACGAGGCUGGAAAGCAAGAAAAGAUGCUCAUUAAAUAGGGAUUAUGGUUCUGUCAGCCUGUUUAAUUAGUCUGGUCUACUUGAAAAGCAGAUGAGCGGUUGGUUAUUUUCACAGCAUGUUUUCUGCCAGGCUGUAGUGAGGAAAUUAACUGAAACGAGGUCUAUGCUACGGGUAGGCACAGAGGGACCAGUAUGAGUCCUGGGACACUGAGGAGACAUGUGAGAGCUGUGGGGACAUGUAGGGCCAUGGCGAGCUGUGUAUGCUGAGAUGUGGGAGAUAUGGAGACACUGAGGGGGACAUUGAGGGGGACACCAAAGGGACAUGUGAGAGCUAGGUACACUGAGAGGCACCAAGGGGAUGCUGAAGGGACACAUAAGAGCCUCGAAGACAACAAGGGGGACACUGAGGGGGACAUUGGGGAGAUAUGUGAGAGCAAUGGAGACACUGAGCGGGACAAGGAGGGUGACACUGAGGAGACGUGAGAGCUAGGUACACUGAGGGGCACACCAAGGGAUGCUGAGGGGACAUAGGAGAGCUGUACAGACACCAAGGGGUGCGCUGAGGGGACAUGUGAGAGCCGUGGGGACGUGAAGGGGGUCUCCAAGGGGGACUUCAACGGCAACACGGAGGGGUUAUGUGUGAGCUCUAGAGACGCUGAGAGACGCGUGUGAAAGCGACGUAGGCACCAAAGAGAAUACUGAGGGAACUUGUGAGAGCCGUGGGAGCUCUGAGGGGGCUUUCAAGGGAGCCUCGGGACGCUGAGGCGACACAAGCACGUCGCUGGGGAGCGCGAAGGGGACGCGCGGAACCGCGGGCGCUGAGGAGAGC
This 2701-nucleotide long non-coding RNA is filed under the name Meleagris gallopavo (turkey). RNAcentral describes it as "lncRNA (ENSMGAG00000022316.1)". The record is from RNAcentral. Lineage: Eukaryota; Metazoa; Chordata; Aves; Galliformes; Phasianidae.